This is a non-coding RNA of Canis lupus familiaris (dog), 108 nucleotides long. Lineage: Eukaryota; Metazoa; Chordata; Mammalia; Carnivora; Canidae. The record is from Rfam.
GUAUACUGUGCUUGCUUUUAUAUACUAAAAACCUCUAACAAUACACAGAAGAUUAGCAUGGCCCCUGAACAAGGAUAACGUGCAAAUUCAUAUUUAAAAAAAUUCAUU